This 253-nucleotide ribosomal RNA is filed under the name uncultured bacterium. RNAcentral describes it as "partial 16S ribosomal RNA". It matches the Rfam family "Bacterial small subunit ribosomal RNA", at positions 524 to 776 of the family's 1533-position model. The record is from RNAcentral.
UACAGAGGUCUCAAGCGUUGUUCGGAUUCAUUGGGCGUAAAGGGUGCGUAGGUGGCGGGGUAAGUCUGGUGUGAAAUCUCGGGGCUCAACCCCGAAACUGCACUGGAUACUGCCUUGCUCGAGUACUGGAGAGGAGAUUGGGAUUUACGGUGUAGCAGUGAAAUGCGUAGAUAUCGUAAGGAAGACCAGUGGCGAAGGCGAAUCUCUGGACAGUUACUGACACUGAGGCACGAAGGCCAGGGGAGCAAACGGG